UCGAACGGUAACAUGGCUAGCUUGCUAGCUGAUGACGAGUGGCGGACGGGUGAGUAACGCGUAGGAAUCUACCUAUUAGUGGGGGACAACCUGGUGAAAACCAGGCUAAUACCGCAUACGCCCUACGGGGGAAAGCAGGGGAUCUUCGGACCUUGCGCUAUUAGAUGAGCCUGCGUUAGAUUAGCUUGUUGGUGAGGUAAUGGCUCACCAAGGCGACGAUCUAUAGCUGGUCUGAGAGGAUGAUCAGCCACACUGGGACUGAGACACGGCCCAGACUCCUACGGGAGGCAGCAGUGGGGAAUAUUGCGCAAUGGGCGAAAGCCUGACGCAGCCAUACCGCGUGUGUGAAGAAGGGUUUAGGCUCGUAAAGCACUUUAAGUAGGGAGGAAGGCCUGUAAAUUAAUACUUUGCAGGAUUGACGUUACCUACAGAAAAAANANNCGCUGACUCCUUGCNGNCAGCCGCGGUAAUACACGAGGGUGCAAGCGUUAAUCGGAAUUACUGGGCGUAAAGCGCGCGUAGGCGGUUUGUUAAGCGAGAUGUGAAAGCCCAGGGCUCAACCUUGGAACUGCAUUUCGAACUGGCAGGCUAAAGUA
RNAcentral lists this ribosomal RNA (596 nucleotides) under uncultured Gammaproteobacteria bacterium. RNAcentral describes it as "bacterial SSU rRNA". It matches the Rfam family "Bacterial small subunit ribosomal RNA", at positions 62 to 648 of the family's 1533-position model. The record is from RNAcentral. Lineage: Bacteria; Pseudomonadati; Pseudomonadota; Gammaproteobacteria.